UCCGCUGCUCCGCCGCGAAUUUUCGUUGUCCAAAACGCCAAUGAUAAGAAUAAGAAUAUUCGCUCUACAAAAAGUUUAAAAAUAAAUAGAUGUAACUCUUACUGUUCUGAAUUUUUUUUAUGACUAUUUGGUUACCCACAAAAACUAAAAUGAUUACCUUUGUAUGAAUGGUUGACUACCAACUGCAUCACAUUCAAACUAAAUUGGUAACUUCAUAAAACUGAAUUAGUUACCUUAGUAUGAAGGUUUGGCUACCCACUGCAUCACAUUUAAAAUAAAUUGGUAACCUAAUAACACUGAUUUGGUUACCUUGGUAUGAAUAUUUGGCUACCAACUGCACUACGAAAAGACUGUAUGUGUGGAUAUGGAUUGAUUACCUUGGUAUGAAGGUUUGGUUAUCUUGGUGUGAAGGUUUGGUUACCAACUACACUAUGAAAAAACUGAAGGUAUGGAGGUGGAUUGGUUACCUUGGUAUGACGGUUUGGUUACCUCGGUAUGAAUGUUUAGUUACUAACUGUACUAUGAAAAAACUACAAGUGUGUAGGUGGAUUGGUAACCUUGGUAUGAAGGUUUGGUAACCUUGGUAUGAAGGUUUGGUUACCAAUCUCUUCUAUCAGUUGCUGAUUUUGGAUCAAACCCAAUAAUUCUAUCCUUCUAUAUCUCUGUUUCUCUCUUAUUUUCUGGUUAAACUUCAACAAAGGUUUGACACACUUACAUCGACGUCAGAAGGAAGAAUCUUCAUUAUUCCCCCAGCAUAGUCUUGCGAAUUAUAUAUAUCAGAAUUCACCCCAUGACCAUCUUGUGACAGUGGCCCACUCUCUAGCCCACUGUUCCCCACCAUGGUUGCCUUUGUUGCUGAAUUUUCAUUAGAGCCGGAACUUGAACACCAUUCAUCUCGUCAAAACAUUCAUCUCGGUGAUGGUUGCACACCAUUCAUCUCGUCAAACUUCUCCUCAAAUUGA
This 962-nucleotide long non-coding RNA is filed under the name Panax ginseng (ginseng). RNAcentral describes it as "long non-coding RNA (PGIN_LNC014789)". The record is from RNAcentral. Lineage: Eukaryota; Viridiplantae; Streptophyta; Magnoliopsida; Apiales; Araliaceae.